UAGGGGCUGGGGCUCAGUGGCAGAGCACUUGCUUAGCAUACAUGAGGCUCUGGGUUCGAUCCUCAGCACAUAA
RNAcentral lists this transfer RNA (73 nucleotides) under Marmota monax (woodchuck). Its description in RNAcentral is "tRNA.Ala". The record is from RNAcentral. Lineage: Eukaryota; Metazoa; Chordata; Mammalia; Rodentia; Sciuridae.